Molecule: non-coding RNA, 717 nt
Organism: Oryza sativa Japonica Group (Japanese rice)
Lineage: Eukaryota; Viridiplantae; Streptophyta; Magnoliopsida; Poales; Poaceae
Source: RefSeq, a predicted model, not a curated record
AGGGUUUUAUGCACAAAUAAGUUCGGAAAUUACUAGUGAAUUUCCGGGUGUGACAUCCAAGAAAAGAAAAGUGGGUAGGCAAAGAAAGAAUAGGAUGCCAUCUGCUCUUGAGAAGGGCAAGGGGAAGGCUACAAGGCAAAUUAAGUGCCCAGAAUGUGGUGUCUUUGGACACUGGAAGGGAAGUGCUAGAUGUGAACUAACUGGCACAAAAAGAGGUGUGCUGCAUUUUCAUCUCAAUUAUUAUUCAUUUUCUUGCUGUUAUAUGCUAACUGUUUUUCUUUUGGCAGGAAGAGGAACAAGAAAACAACAACAAAGGUGGGAAGGAAGAAAUCAAAGGGUGUUAGUGAUGAACAAGUAACUACACCAAGAACAAGAGCAGUUGCAGCUAGAGAAGGAGCUGCAGAAACACAAGUGCAGCCAUCACAAACAAGCAGCCCUGGACCAGUCACUAGGAGGAGGUUGGCAUUGGAGCUUGACCAAAGCUCUCAAGUGCAGCCAUCACAAACAAGCAGCAGCCCUGGACCAGUCACAAGGAGGAGGUUCGCAUUGGAGCUUGACCAAAGCUCUCAAGUAGCUCCAGCUAUAGUGGAGCCACCCAAGAAGCUUACACCCAGAAAGAAGCUCGCAAGCAAGAAGAAAAGUGCAACACCACCUAGACUUUUGGAUUGAAAUUUGUCAACCUGCUAGUGAAAUUGGUUAUUUGUGGUCUACUAUGGC